RNAcentral lists this ribosomal RNA (1498 nucleotides) under Limosilactobacillus fermentum. RNAcentral's name for it is "bacterial SSU rRNA". It matches the Rfam family "Bacterial small subunit ribosomal RNA". Lineage: Bacteria; Bacillati; Bacillota; Bacilli; Lactobacillales; Lactobacillaceae. The record is from RNAcentral.
GAUGAACGCCGGCGGUGUGCCUAAUACAUGCAAGUCGAACGCGUUAGCCCAAUUGAUUGAUGGUGCUUGCACCUGAUUGAUUUUGGCCGCCAACGAGUGGCGGACGGGUGAGUAACACGUAGGUAACCUGCCCAGAAGCGGGGGACAACAUUUGGAAACAGAUGCUAAUACCGCAUAACAGCGUUGUUCGCAUGAACAACGCUUAAAAGAUGGCUUCUUGCUAUCACUUCUGGAUGGACCUGCGGUGCAUUAGCUUGUUGGUGGGGUAACGGCCUACCAAGGCGAUGAUGCAUAGCCGAGUUGAGAGACUGAUCGGCCACAAUGGGACUGAGACACGGCCCAUACUCCUACGGGAGGCAGCAGUAGGGAAUCUUCCACAAUGGGCGCACGCCUGAUGGAGCAACACCGCGUGAGUGAAGAAGGGUUUCGGCUCGUAAAGCUCUGUUGUUAAAGAAGAACACGUAUGAGAGUAACUGUUCAUACGUUGACGGUAUUUAACCAGAAAGUCACGGCUAACUACGUGCCAGCAGCCGCGGUAAUACGUAGGUGGCAAGCGUUAUCCGGAUUUAUUGGGCGUAAAGAGAGUGCAGGCGGUUUUCUAAGUCUGAUGUGAAAGCCUUCGGCUUAACCGGAGAAGUGCAUCGGAAACUGGAUAACUUGAGUGCAGAAGAGGGUAGUGGAACUCCAUGUGUAGCGGUGGAAUGCGUAGAUAUAUGGAAGAACACCAGUGGCGAAGGCGGCUACCUGGUCUGCAACUGACGCUGAGACUCGAAAGCAUGGGUAGCGAACAGGAUUAGAUACCCUGGUAGUCCAUGCCGUAAACGAUGAGUGCUAGGUGUUGGAGGGUUUCCGCCCUUCAGUGCCGGAGCUAACGCAUUAAGCACUCCGCCUGGGGAGUACGACCGCAAGGUUGAAACUCAAAGGAAUUGACGGGGGCCCGCACAAGCGGUGGAGCAUGUGGUUUAAUUCGAAGCUACGCGAAGAACCUUACCAGGUCUUGACAUCUUGCGCCAACCCUAGAGAUAGGGCGUUUCCUUCGGGAACGCAAUGACAGGUGGUGCAUGGUCGUCGUCAGCUCGUGUCGUGAGAUGUUGGGUUAAGUCCCGCAACGAGCGCAACCCUUGUUACUAGUUGCCAGCAUUAAGUUGGGCACUCUAGUGAGACUGCCGGUGACAAACCGGAGGAAGGUGGGGACGACGUCAGAUCAUCAUGCCCCUUAUGACCUGGGCUACACACGUGCUACAAUGGACGGUACAACGAGUCGCGAACUCGCGAGGGCAAGCAAAUCUCUUAAAACCGUUCUCAGUUCGGACUGCAGGCUGCAACUCGCCUGCACGAAGUCGGAAUCGCUAGUAAUCGCGGAUCAGCAUGCCGCGGUGAAUACGUUCCCGGGCCUUGUACACACCGCCCGUCACACCAUGAGAGUUUGUAGCACCCAAAGUCGGUGGGGUAACCUUUUAGGAGCCAGCCGCCUAAGGUGGGACAGAUGAUUAGGGUG